Molecule: ribosomal RNA, 497 nt
Filed under: uncultured bacterium
Lineage: Bacteria
Description: partial 16S ribosomal RNA
Rfam family: Bacterial small subunit ribosomal RNA
Source: RNAcentral
GAUGAACGCUGGCGGCGUGCCUAAUACAUGCAAGUCGAGCGAACAGAUGAGGAGCUUGCUCCUCUGACGUUAGCGGCGGACGGGUGAGUAACACGUGGAUAACCUACCUAUAAGACUGGGAUAACUUCGGGAAACCGGAGCUAAUACCGGAUAAUAUAUUGAACCGCAUGGUUCAAUAGUGAAAGACGGUUUUGCUGUCACUUAUAGAUGGAUCCGCGCCGCAUUAGCUAGUUGGUAAGGUAACGGCUUACCAAGGCAACGAUGCGUAGCCGACCUGAGAGGGUGAUCGGCCGCACUAGAACUGAGACACGGUCCAGACUCCUACGGGGGGCAGCAGUAGGGAAUCUUCCGCAAUGGGCGAAAGCCUGACGGAGCAACGCCGCGUGAGUGAUGAAGGUCUUCGGAUCGUAAAACUCUGUUAUUAGGGAAGAACAAAUGUGUAAGUAACUAUGCACGUCUUGACGGUACCUAAUCAGAAAGCCACGGCUAACUACGUG